This 329-nucleotide unclassified non-coding RNA is filed under the name soil metagenome. RNAcentral describes it as "partial contains 5.8S ribosomal RNA, internal transcribed spacer 2, and large subunit ribosomal RNA". The stretch from base 1 to 120 matches the Rfam family "5.8S ribosomal RNA", at positions 35 to 154 of the family's 154-position model. The record is from RNAcentral.
GAUGAAGAACGUAGCGAAAUGCGAUAAGUAGUGUGAAUUGCAGAAUUCAGUGAAUCAUCGAAUCUUUGAACGCACAUUGCGCCCCUUGGUAUCCCGAGGGGCAUGCCUGUUCGAGCGUCAUUUCACCACUCAAGCCUGGCUUGGUGUUGGGCGACGUCCCCUUUGGGGACGCGCCUCGAAACGCUCGGCGGCGUGGCACCGGCUUUAAGCGUAGCAGAAUCUUUCGCUUUGGAAGUCGGGGCCCCGUCUGCCGGAAGACCUACUCGCAAGGUUGACCUCGGAUCAGGCAGGGAUACCCACUGAACUUAAGCAUAUCAAUAAGCGGAGGA